GACGAACGCUGGCGGCGUGCUUAACACAUGCAAGUCGAACGGAAAGGCCCUGCUUUUGUGGGGUGCUCGAGUGGCGAACGGGUGAGUAACACGUGAGUAACCUGCCCUUGACUUUGGGAUAACUUCAGGAAACUGGGGCUAAUACCGGAUAGGAGCUCCUGCUGCAUGGUGGGGGUUGGAAAGUUUCGGCGGUUGGGGAUGGACUCGCGGCUUAUCAGCUUGUUGGUGGGGUAGUGGCUUACCAAGGCUUUGACGGGUAGCCGGCCUGAGAGGGUGACCGGCCACAUGGGGACUGAGAUACGGCCCAGAGUCCUACGGUAGGCAGCAGGGGGGAAUAUUGCACAAUGGGGGGAAGCCUGAGGCAGCAACGCCGCGUGCGGGAUGACGGCCUUCGGGUUGUAAACCGCUUUCGCCUGUGACGAAGCGUGAGUGACGGUAAUGGGUAAAGAAGCACCGGCUAACUACGUG
RNAcentral lists this ribosomal RNA (468 nucleotides) under uncultured bacterium. RNAcentral's name for it is "partial 16S ribosomal RNA". It matches the Rfam family "Bacterial small subunit ribosomal RNA", at positions 28 to 507 of the family's 1533-position model. The record is from RNAcentral.